UGAAUGUUAGCCGUCGGGGUGUUUACACUUCGGUGGCGCAGCUAACGCAUUAAACAUUCCGCCUGGGGAGUACGGUCGCAAGAUUAAAACUCAAAGGAAUUGACGGGGGCCCGCACAAGCGGUGGGGCAUGUGGUUUAAUUCGAAGCAACGCGCAGAACCUUACCAGCUCUUGACAUGCCUAUGAAUGUUAGUGGAGACACUUUCAGCCUUUCGGGGCGUAGGACACAGGUGCUGCAUGGCUGUCGUCAG
RNAcentral lists this ribosomal RNA (250 nucleotides) under uncultured bacterium. Its description in RNAcentral is "partial 16S ribosomal RNA". It matches the Rfam family "Bacterial small subunit ribosomal RNA", at positions 810 to 1058 of the family's 1533-position model. The record is from RNAcentral.